Long non-coding RNA from Xiphias gladius (swordfish), 1464 nucleotides. RefSeq lists it as uncharacterized. The record is from RefSeq and is a predicted model, not a curated record. NCBI's taxonomy places the organism in Eukaryota, Metazoa, Chordata, Actinopteri, Istiophoriformes, Xiphiidae. The transcript is spliced from 3 exons.
UGGGCUUGUAGUGUGCAAUAUUUCUUCGUACAUGGUAACAUUUUAUGACACUGAGGCCAAACUACAGGAACUUGCGAGCGUAUACUAAUAUGGCGAGCCGACCACAAUGGCCUCUAUAGGGAUCCAUUUACUAAACAAAUAAGAAGUAACAGCAGCUACAAAGAUAUUAAGCACAUUUACGUGUGUUUUUUGUGCCAUCAGACAGAGUAAAUAGUCAUUUAAAUGUCAACAGAUCCUCUGCCUGCCCUUUUGUGUUGAUGCAUUACACAAUCUGUUGUGUAAUGCGUCAACAUUUCUGAGAAAUACAGGGUGGAUUCAAUUCUGUGCCUGUCUGCUCUUGUGUGGUAAGGAACUGCAACUAAAUCAGAAGGUUAAUCAGUACAUACAGUAUAUUUUCUGCACUAUGACCCCACAAUCAUCUGUCUGUCUGGACAAUACUGGGAGCAGCGAGGAGGAAGAAGUGGGGCGUGUCCCUGUGGUGCAGAUAUCUGGCGAGUGUCCUCUCAGUGGAAGAUCACUGCUGUAACAUUGUCCAGAGCCUCGACAGACACACAGGCUGCACUACCUGGAAGCUGCUCACUUCGACUCUAAUCAUGAGUAAAUAUGUUGUGGGCAACAAUUCAUGUUCAAAGGCUAAACAAGCUUACCGGCACAGUGCAAGGAGCGGAGCUCUGUCACUGGGGGCUGCACCGAUCUCCGGUCUGCUGCUGGGCGCUGAGAGCGGCUCAGCGGAGACUGGCGACAUUUACACCCUCCACCCAACAAAACUACACAGAGCAGACAGGGAGAAAGCGCCUUCUGGAGAGAGGCACUGAGGCUUGAGUCCUUGAAGGAGAGAGUUAACAUGGCCGCUGGGUGAUCACCGAUUUUAAUAUCUCUGUCUGCGGCUACACCUUUUGGCUUAUAACAGCUGCAAUUUCCAAGACACAUAUUUUUAACUAGCUGAAGCUCAAUUCAUAUUUGUAAACUGAUUCCGCUUUAUUAACUGUUAAAGAAGGAAUCCAGUCAAAAAUAGAACCCAAAGACAGCACUGUACUUCCAGUGUUUUGUUCAUAUUUGCAUAAAAUUAAAUCAUAUUAGCUUUUUGGCUGCCUUGUUUUCACAGCCAGCUUGCACACAGCCGAUUGUGAAAGUGUGAAAGCAUAAAACUGUCUUGACUUGAUAAGUCAGUGGCAGUUGUGCCAGCAUGAUUUGAGGAUGUAACCACAGGCUGCAGCGAGUAGUGUUAUAUGAAGAAGCUCCUUUAAGUAAAACCAGGGUGUACUGUAUGAGGGUUUUGUGUGAUGCCCUUGUGAUUUAAAACAGGUUUUUGUCAUUUUUAUUGUGUUGCCUCGCUGUGUUCAGCAGCUAGAAGAACAAUAGAAGGCCAUAAACUUGUUGUGUGCAGGUUUGUAUAACUUGUCUUGUUCCUGGGACUUCACUUUAUAAGAUGACACGGGCGUGUGUCUGGUUGCCCUUAACACA